CUACAAUGCCGGGUCAUCGCCGCUAUUCAAUAAUUGCGGAGGAAAGUCCGGACAGCAUAGAGCAGCACACUACCUAACGGGUAGGCAUUGGUCGUAAGGACCGAUGACAGAUAGUGCCACAGAAAAUUACCGCCUGUACCAACCGCUUUGGCGUAAGUCAAACCGGCUUGAAAGGGUAAGGGUGAAAAUGUAGUGUAAGAGACUACGGCUUACCAUGGCGACAUGGUUUGCGGGUAAACCUUGUGUGCUGAAAUGCCAAAUAAGCAUGCGCUUGAGGGUGGCUCGCCCGAUGCAUGUGGGUUGGCAGCGUGAGGCAGUGCGUGAGUACUGUCCCAGAUAAAUGGUGAUCGUUUUUGCUUAGGCAGAAAUACAGAAUCCGGCUUACAGGCAUUGUAGUUUU
This 400-nucleotide RNase P RNA is filed under the name Flavipsychrobacter sp. RNAcentral's name for it is "RNase P RNA component class A". It matches the Rfam family "Bacterial RNase P class A". Rfam says of the family: Ribonuclease P (RNase P) is a ubiquitous endoribonuclease, found in archaea, bacteria and eukarya as well as chloroplasts and mitochondria. Its best characterised activity is the generation of mature 5'-ends of tRNAs by cleaving the 5'-leader elements of precursor-tRNAs. Cellular RNase Ps are ribonucleoproteins. Lineage: Bacteria; Pseudomonadati; Bacteroidota; Chitinophagia; Chitinophagales; Chitinophagaceae. The record is from RNAcentral.